AUACGAGGGGUGCAAGCGUUGUUCGGAAUUACUGGGCGUAAAGGGAGCGUAGGCGGAGAUUCAAGCGGAUUGUACAAUCCCGGGGCCCAACCCCGGCUCUGCAGUCCGAACUGGAUCUCUUGGAUAGUUCAGGGGCAGGCGGAAUUCCUGGUGUAGCGGUGGAAUGCGUAGAGAUCAGGAAGAACACCGAUGGCGAAGGCAGCCUGCUGACGACUUAUCGACGCUGAGGCUCGAAAGUGCGGGUAGCAAACAGGAUUAGAUGCCCUGGUAGUCCGCACCGUAAACGAUGCAUACUGGGUUUCCGGGGGUUCCCCCGGGUACCGUAGCCAACGCGUUAAGUAUGCCGCCUGGGGAGUACGUACGCAAGUAUGAAACUCAAAUGAAUUGACGGGG
RNAcentral lists this ribosomal RNA (393 nucleotides) under uncultured bacterium. Its description in RNAcentral is "partial 16S ribosomal RNA". It matches the Rfam family "Bacterial small subunit ribosomal RNA", at positions 523 to 918 of the family's 1533-position model. The record is from RNAcentral.